AAGCGUUAGAGCUUUUUUAGAAUUUGUCUAGGUUUCUGGUUUUCACCAGAAACUCUCUU
This 59-nucleotide small nuclear RNA is filed under the name Saimiri boliviensis boliviensis (Bolivian squirrel monkey). RNAcentral's name for it is "U7 small nuclear RNA (ENSSBOG00000006338.1)". It matches the Rfam family "U7 small nuclear RNA". From Rfam's summary of the family: Animal histone pre-mRNAs are spliced by a different mechanism than nuclear pre-mRNAs and self-splicing introns. The record is from Rfam by way of RNAcentral. Lineage: Eukaryota; Metazoa; Chordata; Mammalia; Primates; Cebidae.